CUGGGAUAGGCGGGGUGAUAGCGGUGCCCUGUACCCGAAAACCGCUUUAUGCGGGGCUGAAUUCCCUCCCGAGCAUAAUGAUCGGAUACCGUAAUUCAUUCAGGUCGGCCGCCGCGCAACAGACGGUUACAAACCUCGUCAGGUCCGGAAGGAAGCAGCGAUAAGUAAUGGCGCCUGUGUCGCGGAUCGUUCCCGUCCGGAUAAUGGUCCGGCGUUUUUUGCUGCCGUUCGACGGAGGGUUCACAA
This 246-nucleotide signal recognition particle RNA is filed under the name Desulfobacterales bacterium. RNAcentral's name for it is "signal recognition particle sRNA large type". It matches the Rfam family "Bacterial large signal recognition particle RNA". From Rfam's summary of the family: The signal recognition particle (SRP) is a universally conserved ribonucleoprotein involved in the co-translational targeting of proteins to membranes. Archaeal SRP consists of a 7S RNA and homologues of the eukaryotic SRP19 and SRP54 proteins. Lineage: Bacteria; Pseudomonadati; Thermodesulfobacteriota; Desulfobacteria; Desulfobacterales. The record is from RNAcentral.